AAUGAACGUUGGCGGCGUGGAUUAGGCAUGCAAGUCGAGCGCGAACCCCGCAAGGGGUGAAAGCGGCGAAAGGGAGAGUAACGCGUGGGUAUCUGCCCUCGGGACUGGGAUAGCUGCGGGAAACUGCAGGUAAUACCAGAUGACGUCCCCGGACCAAAGGUGUGAUUCCGCCUGAGGAUGAGCCCGCGUCCUAUUAGCUAGUUGGUAGGGUAAUGGCCUACCAAGGCAAUGAUGGGUACUGGGUGUGAGAGCACGACCCAGCUCACUGGGACUGGGACACUGCCCAGACACCUACGGGUGGCUGCAGUCGAGAAUCUGCGGCAAUGGGCGAAAGCCUGACCGAGCGACGCCGCGUGUGGGAUGAAGGCCUUCGGGUUGUAAACCGCUGUCAGAGGGGAGGAAUGGGCGGAGGGUAAUCUCUUCGUUUUGACCUAUCCUCAGAGGAAGUACGGGCUAAGUUCGUGCCAGCCGCCGCGGUAA
This 480-nucleotide ribosomal RNA is filed under the name uncultured bacterium. RNAcentral describes it as "partial 16S ribosomal RNA". It matches the Rfam family "Bacterial small subunit ribosomal RNA", at positions 28 to 523 of the family's 1533-position model. The record is from RNAcentral.